CAAUAGUUUUCUAUCCUAUUAUUGCAUUAAAAUGGAAGAUAUAAUCAUUGAUCAUAUUUUAAAUAGUGAUGAUGAUGAUAGUGAUGAUAACGAUAGUACUGAUGGUCUGUGUUCACCAAGGCUCAGAUGUCCUUGAAUUUCCAGACCAAGAAGGAAUUGGUUUGAUUUAUUCGAUGAAACGGAUUUUUAUGCCAGAUUUCGGCUACCAAAACGCCGUCUUUAGCAAUUACUUAACGUAAUUGAACCAGAAAUAGUACAAAAUACUGAUAAAAAUAAUGCUGUACCUCCAAUGAUUCAAUUACUGGUAGCAGUCCGUUUUCUGGCAACUGGAUCAUUUUAUGUAACAAUGGCUGAUUUCUGUGGAAGCAGUAAAACUACUGCACGCAACAUCAUUCAUAAAGUGUCGAGAGCAAUAGCUAGAUUACGACGAUACUUUAUAGUAUUUCCAUCAACGCCGGCGGAAAUUUGUUGAUUUUAAAGAGAAAAUUUCCAAACUGCUGGAUUUAUGAGAGUAAUUGGAGCUGUUGACUGUGCUUACAUAAAAGGACAAUCAUAUGGUGGAGACGAUGCAGAACUUUAUCGCAACCGGAAAAGUUUUUUUUUCCCAUUAACGUCCAAGUCAUCACAAAUUCUCGCUUACAAAUAUUAGAUAUUAUAGCACAUUGGCCUGGUUUAACCCACGAUGCCACAAUUUUUGAUUUUUCUGAAAUUGAAGCGCGUUUUGAAGAUGGAGAGUUUGGAAAUGCUUUAUUAGUUGGAGAUUCGGGUUAUCUAAAUCUGCCAUACCUAAUGACACCUUUAAAUAAUCCAUUGACAGCAGCAGAAACUCUAUAUAAUGAGUCUCAAAUUCGGACAAGGUCCAUGAUCGAAAGAUGUUUUGGUAUCUGGGGCAGGAAGUUUGCCGUCUUAACUAUAGGAUCACGUUGUCACAAUAUUCAGUCAACGUUUUCUAUGAUAAUAGCAUCGGUAGUAUUGUAUAAUAUUUACAGGUUGGAUGAUAUAACAUCUACCAUUAAUCCUCAAAUAUAUGAUACAAUUGUUCCAAAUCAGAAUAAUCUUCCAUUACAUGUUGACGAGCGUCAACAUAUGUUAGAUAUUUAUUUUCAAAGGUAUUUAAUAAAUAAUGGAUAAUUUUUAAUUAUCGUAUAAUGCAUGUAAUUUCUUUCAGAUUGAUAUAAACUUAAUCAAUUGGAUUUGGUUAUAUUUCUAGUUGGUUUUUCAAUGUUUUCAACUAUUUUUGUUUUAUCUUUUGUUUUUCAU
Molecule: long non-coding RNA, 1260 nt
Organism: Chelonus insularis
Lineage: Eukaryota; Metazoa; Arthropoda; Insecta; Hymenoptera; Braconidae
Exons: 3
Source: RefSeq, a predicted model, not a curated record